Molecule: ribosomal RNA, 444 nt
Filed under: uncultured bacterium
Lineage: Bacteria
Description: partial 16S ribosomal RNA
Rfam family: Bacterial small subunit ribosomal RNA
Source: RNAcentral
CCAGACUCCUACGGGAGGCAGCAGUGGGGAAUAUUGCACAAUGGGGGAAACCCUGAUGCAGCGACGCCGCGUGAGCGAAGAAGUAUUUCGGUAUGUAAAGCUCUAUCAGCAGGGAAGAAAUUGACGGUACCUGAGUAAGAAGCUCCGGCUAAAUACGUGCCAGCAGCCGCGGUAAUACGUAUGGAGCAAGCGUUAUCCGGAUUUACUGGGUGUAAAGGGAGCGUAGACGGCGGUGCAAGCCAGAUGUGAAAGCCCGGGGCUCAACCCCGGGACUGCAUUUGGAACUGUGCUGCUAGAGUGUCGGAGAGGCAGGCGGAAUUCCUAGUGUAGCGGUGAAAUGCGUAGAUAUCAGGAGGAACACCGGUGGCGAAGGCGGCCUGCUGGACUGCGACUGACGUUGAGGCCCGAAAGCGUGGGGAGCAAACAGGAUUAGAUACCCCAGUA